UCUGCACCCACUUGUUCCUGUCAUUGUGACUCUGUGUAACCCUCGAUGUUCUUCCACUCUGUGCUCUGCACUUGUGUAGUCUCUAAUGAUUCUUCUGCAUAGUCCUUAACAUUCUUCCGCCUCAUGCUCUGUGCUUGUGUAGUUUCUAAUGAUUCUUCUGCGUAGCUCUUAACAUUCUUCCACUCCGCGCUCCACUGUGGGGCAGCUUCUGAUAUUCUUCCACUCUGAUCUCCCUUCUAUAAGAACCCCCUUCGUACGACCUUUCCUUCUGAUCUCUUUUCUCUUUCUUUCCUUAAUCAAUUUGUAAUCUGUAUUUAGGAUAGU
Molecule: small RNA, 324 nt
Filed under: Histoplasma ohiense
Lineage: Eukaryota; Fungi; Ascomycota; Eurotiomycetes; Onygenales; Ajellomycetaceae
Description: hypothetical lncRNA
Source: RNAcentral